RNAcentral lists this long non-coding RNA (382 nucleotides) under Androctonus crassicauda. The record is from RNAcentral. Lineage: Eukaryota; Metazoa; Arthropoda; Arachnida; Scorpiones; Buthidae.
GGCCAGUUGACUUGCGAUUGUGUUCGAUAUGACUUUUAUGAUAUCGGCCGGGUCGGUUCGUCGAUGUCGGAGCCCCUCCUUCGGACGGGGACGACCUGACGACCGCCCGCGUCGUCAGGUCGUCCCCGCUGACUGGGACGACCAGACAGUUGGUCGUCCCAGACAGCGACCUCGCUGGCUCGCUGGGAACCUUUUGCUUUUUCCUAGUCGGAGCUUCUUCUACUCCCUUUGAAAUAUAAUGCUUCUUUCUAGUCGGAGCUGCUUCCCCUCUUGAAAUAUAAUUCUCCUUCUCUCAGUCGGAGCUGCUGCUUCUUUUUGAAAUAUAAUUCGUUGUUUUAUAUCGUUUGCUCCGGAUGACGUAACGAUGUUUAUUAUAGCUUCC